ACACGUAGGGGGCAAGCGUUGUUCGGAAUUAUUGGGCGUAAAGGGCAUGUAGGCGGUUUCGUAAGCCUGGUGUGAAAUCCUGCAGCUUAACUGUAGAAUGGCAUUGGGUACUGCGAGACUUGAAUCACGGAGGGGAAACUAGAAUUCCAGGUGUAGGGGUGGAAUCUGUAGAUAUCUGGAAGAAUACCGGUGGCGAAGGCGGGUUUCUAGCCGAUGAUUGACGCUGAGGUGCGAAAGUGCGGGGAGCAAACAGGAUUAGAUACCCUGGUAGUCCGCACCGUAAACGAUGUACACUAGGUGUAGGGGCAUGAGUCUCUGUGCCAAAGCUAACGUGAUAAGUGUACCGCCUGGGAAGUAUGCCCGCAAGGGUGAA
RNAcentral lists this ribosomal RNA (373 nucleotides) under uncultured bacterium. RNAcentral's name for it is "bacterial SSU rRNA". It matches the Rfam family "Bacterial small subunit ribosomal RNA", at positions 523 to 898 of the family's 1533-position model. The record is from RNAcentral.